ACAGUGACAGUGAAGCGUGAUGAAGGGACAUUCACGUGUUUGUGUGACACGUGUUUCCCUGAAAUCUUGUUACGCGCUUGGCACUUGACCCAUCUGACA
Molecule: small nucleolar RNA, 99 nt
Organism: Sorex araneus (European shrew)
Lineage: Eukaryota; Metazoa; Chordata; Mammalia; Eulipotyphla; Soricidae
Product: small nucleolar RNA U13
Exons: 1
Source: RefSeq, a predicted model, not a curated record